ACGUUAUUAGUAUAAAAAUUAUGCCUAGCUUCCAACUAGAAGACCUUGGAAUCCUCCCCCAAGAUAACGUA
RNAcentral lists this transfer RNA (71 nucleotides) under Pseudocolochirus violaceus. RNAcentral describes it as "tRNA-Gly". Lineage: Eukaryota; Metazoa; Echinodermata; Holothuroidea; Dendrochirotida; Cucumariidae. The record is from RNAcentral.